This 459-nucleotide ribosomal RNA is filed under the name uncultured bacterium. Its description in RNAcentral is "partial 16S ribosomal RNA". It matches the Rfam family "Bacterial small subunit ribosomal RNA", at positions 338 to 795 of the family's 1533-position model. The record is from RNAcentral.
CCUACGGGAGGCAGCAGUGAGGAAUAUUGGUCAAUGGCCGAGAGGCUGAACCAGCCAAGUCGCGUGAGGGAAGAAUGUCCUAUGGAUUGUAAACCUCUUUUGUCAGGGAGCAAAGUCACCCACGUGUGGGUGUUGGAGAGUACCUGAAGAAAAAGCAUAGGCUAACUCCGUGCCAGCAGCAGCGGUAAUACGGAGGAUGCGAGCGUUAUCCGGAUUUAUUGGGUUUCAAGGGUGCGUAGGCGGGUUAUCAAGUCAGCGGUAAAAUCGUGGAGCUCAACUCCAUCCAGCCGUUGAAACUGAUGAUCUUGAGUGGGCGAGAGGUGUGCGGAAUGCGUGGUGUAGCGGUGAAAUGCAUAGAUAUCACGCAGAACUCCGAUUGCGAAGGCAGCAUACCGGCGGCCGACUGACGCUGAAGCACGAAAGCGUGGGUAGCGAACAGGAUUAGAUACCCUAGUAGUC